Molecule: non-coding RNA, 21 nt
Filed under: Arabidopsis thaliana (thale cress)
Lineage: Eukaryota; Viridiplantae; Streptophyta; Magnoliopsida; Brassicales; Brassicaceae
Source: RNAcentral
UUUUACUGAUCGGGUUAUGGA